UCUACGUGCGGCAGCAGUGGGGAAUAUUGGACAAUGGGCGAAAGCCUGAUCCAGCCAUGCCGCGUGUGUGAAGAAGGCCUUCGGGUUGUAAAGCACUUUCAGUGGGGAAGAAAGCCUUGGGGCUAAUACCCUCGAGGAAGGACAUCACCCACAGAAGAAGCACCGGCUAACUCCGUGCCAGCAGCCGCGGUAAUACGGAGGGUGCGAGCGUUAAUCGGAAUUACUGGGCGUAAAGCGCGCGUAGGCGGUCUGAUAAGCCGGUUGUGAAAGCCCCGGGCUCAACCUGGGAACGGCAUCCGGAACUGUCAGGCUAGAGUGCAGGAGAGGAAGGUAGAAUUCCCGGUGUAGCGGUGAAAUGCGUAGAGAUCGGGAGGAAUACCGGUGGCGAAGGCGGCCUUCUGGACUGACACUGACGCUGAGGUGCGAAAGCGUGGGUAGCAAACAGGAUUAGAUACCCUAGUAGUC
This 465-nucleotide ribosomal RNA is filed under the name Vreelandella stevensii. RNAcentral describes it as "partial 16S ribosomal RNA". It matches the Rfam family "Bacterial small subunit ribosomal RNA", at positions 338 to 795 of the family's 1533-position model. Lineage: Bacteria; Pseudomonadati; Pseudomonadota; Gammaproteobacteria; Oceanospirillales; Halomonadaceae. The record is from RNAcentral.